Potamilus streckersoni is the source of this 77-nucleotide non-coding RNA. The record is from the annotation of a GenBank genome assembly. Lineage: Eukaryota; Metazoa; Mollusca; Bivalvia; Unionida; Unionidae.
GACUGCUCCAGUGGCUAAGUGGUUAGAGUGUCUGCCUCAGAUUCAGGAGGUCAUGGGUUUGAACCCCAGACGAGUCA